This 119-nucleotide ribosomal RNA is filed under the name Azospirillum halopraeferens. Lineage: Bacteria; Pseudomonadati; Pseudomonadota; Alphaproteobacteria; Rhodospirillales; Azospirillaceae. The record is from RNAcentral.
GACCCGGUGGUCAUGGCGAGGGCUCCUGCACCCGAUCCCAUCCCGAACUCGGCCGUGAAAUCCCUCAGCGCCAAUGGUACUGCGUCUUAAGACGUGGGAGAGUAGGUCGCCGCCGGGUC